This 330-nucleotide ribosomal RNA is filed under the name Triticum aestivum (bread wheat). RNAcentral describes it as "partial small subunit ribosomal RNA". Lineage: Eukaryota; Viridiplantae; Streptophyta; Magnoliopsida; Poales; Poaceae. The record is from RNAcentral.
AUGAUUGCUUUAAAGCUUGAUUUUCGAAAAGCUUUUGACAGUGUCAACUAGGACGCUCUAAAACAAAUCCUAGCGGCAAGAGGUUUUGGGGACAGAUGGAUCAGAUGGGUGGACUCUAUUCUGACAACAAGCUCCUCCAGAAUUCUUAUCAAUGGCAACCCUGGCGAACGGAUACUCUCAAAAUGUGGACUCCGGCAAGGUGACGCCCUGUCCCCGUACCUCUUCAUUCUGGUCGCGGAUAUUCUCCAACAACUUUGCCAAAAAGAGUACCGGGAGGGGAACCUUUUGCACCCCUUGGGAGUAGACGGGCCUCUCCUAAUCCUGCAGUAG